Non-coding RNA from Paramuricea clavata, 305 nucleotides. The record is from the annotation of a GenBank genome assembly. Lineage: Eukaryota; Metazoa; Cnidaria; Anthozoa; Malacalcyonacea; Plexauridae.
AUUUCAGCUAAUAUUACAAAGUUAUUGAACAUUGACAAAACAAACUUUGUCCCCCCCCCAGUUCAAUGUUGUGAACAACGCCGAAACAACUUUUGGUAAUAUACCAUGAUACAAGCUCAACAUUGAGUUGGGGGAGCGUGGGUUUAAGAAUGGCAACAUGAUUCAACAUGGAGUUAUCAUAAAAAUACGCGAAUUUUCCAUAGGGAGGAAAUAGUCUCAACCAGUUAGGUCCAAGAUUGUAGUGCUUGUAGUGAAGUAUAUUAUUUUUAAUAGCAGAAAUAUCUGUACUGAGUGUAAUCUGUUAU